This 105-nucleotide microRNA precursor is filed under the name Canis lupus familiaris (dog). RNAcentral's name for it is "mir-8834 microRNA precursor family". It matches the Rfam family "mir-8834 microRNA precursor family". Lineage: Eukaryota; Metazoa; Chordata; Mammalia; Carnivora; Canidae. RNAcentral also lists the same sequence under 1 other name. The record is from Rfam by way of RNAcentral.
UGGAGGAACAACCGCAGUGGCGGGGCCAGCUCUGCAGCCCUGGAUUCAGCUCCCGCAGUAACUACAGAGCUCUCUGUCUGCAGGGCUUGAAGGCUCCGGGGCGGG